This 772-nucleotide long non-coding RNA is filed under the name Homo sapiens (human). RNAcentral's name for it is "non-protein coding lnc-JUN-5:1". The record is from RNAcentral. Lineage: Eukaryota; Metazoa; Chordata; Mammalia; Primates; Hominidae.
GUCCAGGUGCUCUCCUGCCGCCAACACAGCCCUAAUGAGCUCUGCAUAUUCAAAACACAAGUAAUUGAUAGUCCAAUUUAAAGUGUGCAGAGGCCAAAUUUCUUUCCAGACGCUGAAGGAAAAACACCAGCUGAGGAAGAAUGAAGAACUGCCUGUUCUAAGUUAUUCUCCUUCUGUGGUCAUUCGAGCACCAGGAAGACCAGGUUUGCCCCAUCAAGUACCUCAAGAAAGAAGUCAAUUACCUAAAGAAGUCAAGCAAAGAGGAAAGGACAAAAUGAAAAUCAUGUACCAGGGUACACGUCGAGGCUCCAAGCUGGAAUGAAUAUGGCCUUCAACAUACUCUUUAUCAUACAGAAGCUUGUGUUCAGGGCUUGGAUUUUGAAGUCAGACAGACCUGGAUUAAAAACCAAUUCAACUACCUAUUACAUAUGUGACCUAGGAAAAACAUCCAGGCAAGUGGACAGCAUUUGCAACAGCCCAGCAAUAAGAAGGACCAUAUUCUACUUGGGAAAAGGUAAAGUCGUUUCAUAUGGACGGAGCCUGCCAGGAAACCUGUCAUUCAACCCUUUGCAAUAAAACAGCUCCUCAUGAAUGAAGCAAAAUAAAUCAGAAGUUGUGGGCUUUUAAACUCACUAAAUGAAAGCACAGCAUGCAUGCAGCCUCCCUCCAAAUUAAUCACCAGAUUAAAUGCAAGAUGUGCACACCAAAUCAAUAGCUUGUGACGGGGACCUCCUGCCUGUGCUUCAGGAAAAUUCCAUUUCCUUUCAGAUGU